AAUGAACGUUGGCGGCGUGGAUUAGGCAUGCAAGUCGCGCGACAAGCCCCGCAAGGGGUGGAGGAGCGGCAAACGGGGUAGUAAUGCGUCGGAACGUACCCUCAGGUCGGGGAUAGCCAGGGGAAACCCUGGGUAAUACCCGAUGACCCCGCGGCGCAAGCCGCGAGCAAAGGUCCGCCGCCUGAGGAGCGGCCGACGUGGUAUCAGGUAGUUGGCGGGGUAAUGGCCCACCAAGCCUUAGACGCCUAGGGGGCGUGAGAGCGCGACCCCCACCACUGGGACUGAGAUACUGCCCAGACACCUACGGGUGGCUGCAGUCGAGAAUCUUCCGCAAUGGGCGCAAGCCUGACGGAGCGACGCCGCGUGCGGGAUGAAGGCCUUCGGGUUGUAAACCGCUGUCAGAGGGAUGAAAGCCGCAAGGCUUGACAGAGCCUCAGAGGAAGCACGGGCUAAGUUCGUGCCAGCAGCCGCGGUAAGACGAACUGUGCGAACGUUAUUCGGAAUCACUGGGU
RNAcentral lists this ribosomal RNA (512 nucleotides) under uncultured bacterium. RNAcentral's name for it is "bacterial SSU rRNA". It matches the Rfam family "Bacterial small subunit ribosomal RNA", at positions 28 to 559 of the family's 1533-position model. The record is from RNAcentral.